AUACUUACCUAAAUGAGGUUAAUGGGCGAUUAAUAAGAUUCACGGCCUAGGAUUUUGACAUCCAUUGCACUUUGGAGUGGUACCUACCUAAAGUCGGCCCAAGUGGUCGAGCCUAUUUCAUAAUUUGUUUUCAAUGGAGGCCUGCUUUCACGUAGCCCCUAC
This is a non-coding RNA of Capsicum annuum, 162 nucleotides long. The record is from Rfam. Lineage: Eukaryota; Viridiplantae; Streptophyta; Magnoliopsida; Solanales; Solanaceae.